GCCUGCAUAGUUAAAUGGAUAUAAUAAACCCCUCCUAAGGGUUAGUUAUGGGUUCGAUUCCCGUUGCGGGUGCCA
Molecule: transfer RNA, 75 nt
Filed under: Clostridia bacterium
Lineage: Bacteria; Bacillati; Bacillota; Clostridia
Also listed under: 1 other name
Description: tRNA-Arg
Rfam family: tRNA
About the family: Transfer RNA (tRNA) molecules are approximately 80 nucleotides in length. Their secondary structure includes four short double-helical elements and three loops (D, anti-codon, and T loops). Further hydrogen bonds mediate the characteristic L-shaped molecular structure. tRNAs have two regions of fundamental functional importance: the anti-codon, which is responsible for specific mRNA codon recognition, and the 3' end, to which the tRNAs corresponding amino acid is attached (by aminoacyl-tRNA synthetases). tRNAs cope with the degeneracy of the genetic code in two manners: having more than one tRNA (with a specific anti-codon) for a particular amino acid; and 'wobble' base-pairing, i.e. permitting non-standard base-pairing at the 3rd anti-codon position.
Source: RNAcentral